GCGCAAGCCUGAUCCAGCAAUACCGCGUGUGUGAAGAAGGCCUGCGGGUUGUAAAGCACUUUCAAUCGUGAAGACGGGCUAUGGGGCCAAUACCCCCAUAGUUUGACGUUAACGAUACAAGAAGCACCGGCUAACUCCGUGCCAGCAGCCGCGGUAAUACGGAGGGUGCGAGCGUUAAUCGGAAUUACUGGGCGUAAAGCGCGCGUAGGCGGUCGGGCCAGUCGGAUGUGAAAGCCCCGGGCUUAACUCGGGAAUUGCAUUCGAUACUACCCGGCUAGAGUUUGGUAGAGGGCGACGGAAUUCCAGGUGUAGCGGUGGAAUGCGUAGAUAUCUGGAGGAACAUCAGUGGCGAAGGCGGUUGCCUGGACCAAAACUGACGCUGGAGGCGCGAAAGCGUGGGGAGCAAACAGGAUUAGAUACCCUGGUAGUCCACGCCGUAAACGAUGUCAACUAGCCGUUGGGCGGGUUUGCCGCUUAGUG
Molecule: ribosomal RNA, 480 nt
Filed under: uncultured bacterium
Lineage: Bacteria
Description: bacterial SSU rRNA
Rfam family: Bacterial small subunit ribosomal RNA
Source: RNAcentral